This 29431-nucleotide long non-coding RNA is filed under the name Malus domestica (apple). Its description in RNAcentral is "long non-coding RNA (MDOM_LNC008915)". The record is from RNAcentral. Lineage: Eukaryota; Viridiplantae; Streptophyta; Magnoliopsida; Rosales; Rosaceae.
UUUAUUAUUAUUGCAACAAACACACGGAUUACACUAAAAGCUAGUGAAUCAUACACUUGCAGAUGACUUAUCCAAACACAAAGAUAAGACAUGAUUUUAUUAUUAUUGCUAUAAACACACGGAUUACAGCGAAAUUCAAAAACUAAAAACAAGGAAAAAAGUAGUGAUGAAAACCAAUGCCACUUCCGGGAACACGAUUGCAUUCGCACAUGCAACAAGCCUUUUAAACCCAUAGGUGACCCAAAUGGGACGAGUGAAGUCUCGUGAGGGUUUCCAGAGACGUUACCCACAAACAUCAUGCAUACGGAUCAUCAACAUCUGACUUGGGAGACUGAGUAGAUAUCCACCCCUCCAGCAUCAGGUUGUUUUGGUUGAGGCGUAAUUCGAAUCUGUUUUCAAUGAACGGCCUGGUUAUGAGAUCGCUUUGCAAGUGACGUAAUCGGCAGCGCGUGAUUAGGUUGUUGCUGUCAGGUGGUCCGACAGGCUCGACCUUGAACAAUGUGCAAGCCCAAUUGUCUUUGGUUUCAUUUCGGUCAGCAGCUGCGGCCAGGACCAAUAGCCUGUUUUGGUCCACCCUUCUCAAGUAGUUGCCAUUGUAGGAGCAUUUGAUAUGCACGUAAUUCUUGUCGGCGUAGUCCUCAUUGUUUGGCUUCUCGGUGGUGAACUUUAUGAACCUGCUGUUUUCAUUGUCCUCGGAAAACUGGACAAUCUCAUUAAGGUCGCUUUCUGCAUCAAGUUGAUAGCGCAAAUACUUGUUGUUGAUAUCUGCUUUCAGCAGAAAAGGGCUUGGUAGUACAGGUGGUGGAGCCAUAUCGUAUAGUGUAGUUGGGAUUGGGAUGCUCUCUCUUUUUUAUUCUCUGUUGAUGAUCUAAUUUGCUUGCUGUGAAUGUGAUGCUUAGUUUAAACCUGCUAUCCUAUUUAUAAGAAAUUAAGCACAAGCUAGCUCAAGUUAUGGUCUUUAAUUAAUAUUAAUUUCGACAAAUCAGUUUCCCAUCUCUUUCAUUGAUAUGAACAUGGCUGAUCUCAUUGAUGUGGCGCAAUAUUUGUUAAAUUAGCCGUUCGGGUUGAUUUCUUUGUACAACUCAUCUGCCAAUUCUACAACUUGUAGACCUAAUUCCCAGUACAAAAUUAAAAAAAAAUUAAAAUCCAAAACUAAUAUAAGAUAAAUAAAGACUUUUUAUAUCAUAAAAUAAGACUUUCUAACUUGUAUACAAGACAAUAGUGACAAGAUCAAACACAUUGAUGGGUGCGCAUUUUCCAUCAACAUCUGUUCUGUGUGUUUAAACUGACCGUGGAGUCUUUUUAGCAAUUAAAAGUUUUGUAUCAUGUAAUUGUCUUGGUUUGAUAAGACCUACAUCUAGAUGAGAUGCUUCUGAAGACUAAUGUAAAACUUUAUGUUGAUAUUUCUUGAGGGUGAAACAUCGUUUGAGAAACGUGUUGGGCCUCAUUACAAUUUUUUCAUUUAGUUUUUAACUUUUGGUUUAAAUAUUCUACUAUGAAUAAAUUUGUGGCUUUAAUAACUAGUAAAACCACUUUCAAAUAUCUUAGUAUCGGCUUUCAGAACAAAGGGGUUUGGUAGUACAGGUGGAGCCAUAUUGUAUAGUGUAGCUGGGAUUGGGAUGAUCUCUCUCUCUUUUUUGUUUUUUUUUUCCCUUUAAUUUGCUUGCUUUGAAUGUGAUGCUCAGUUCAAACCUACUAUCCUAUUUCUAAGAAAUUAAGCACAAGCUAUCUCAAGUUAUGGACUUUAAUUAAUAUUAAUUUCCUCAAUCAGUUUCCCAUAUCUUUCAUUGAUACGAACAUGGCUGAUCUCAUUGGUGUGACGCAAGAUUUGUUAAAAUAGCGAUCGGAUUGAUUUUUCUUUGUAUAACUCUUCUGCCAAUUCUGAACUUGUACAUAUAAUUCCCAUUAUAAAAUAAAUAAAUAAAAUUCAAAACUCAUAUAAAAUAAAUAGAGACUUUUUAUAGCAUAUAAAAUAAGACUUUGUAACUUGUACAUAGUUAUUGAUAACAUUCAUCUAAGAACUAACAGAUGAAUGUAUGCAAGCAAUAUUGAAGAAAUACAGAGAGAAAGAUCGAAAGGAAUAGAGAGAGAAAUAGAGAAAGAAAUGAGUGAAAGCUUUGUUAUUUCAUAAGAACAAAAGAUCAUCACAAAAGAACCCUGAUUCCUUCUUAUAUAGUCUGCCCAUGUAGCUUAUCAGCUAAGCCACCUGUGUAACUAAUUCUUAACAAACUAACUAACUCCAAUAGCUGAUAUGGCACUUAUGAUGAUGUGUCAAUCACUAUAUAUCUUCAACAUCCCCCCGCAAUCUCAACUGGGAUUUUCUAGCUUGAGAUUGUAAAAAUGUUAGACAAAUGAAGGACUGUGAAGACCUUUGGUAAGAACAUCGGCAGUUUGCUCCUCAGUUGGGAUAUACAACACCUCCAAAUCGCCUUCAUGCACCCGUUCUCGUACAAAAUGGUAGUAUGUAUUAAGGUGUUUAAUUCUUGAAUGAAACACCAUAUUAGCACUGAUCGGAUCAUAUUUAUAUAUAUUUUUACUUCGAAUUCACUCGUCUUUUCUUAGUUAGUUCCUUAUAUUUUUGAGCUAUUUACGUUAUUUUUGUGUUUAUAGGAUUUGUUAUGCAAAGAAAAUAAAAAUAGAACAAAUGAAAUUUUAUGUAAUAAAUUCGUCAAAACUGUCUGUGUAGAUCAUCUUUUAAAUAAAAUUAAUAAAAAUAAUAAUAAUGGUAAGUCAUGAUGAUGUUUGAAACAUCAUCAUGAUUCAUGUUUUGUAGAAGAAGAAAGGAACGGCAAAGAAGGAGAAAAUAAAGAAUAAAAGGAGGGAGAGCGUCGGUGGAAAAGAAAAAGGAAUAAAAAGCUGCCUUUACCAACAGAGAGAGUGGGGAGGGCAGAAAGAAAAACACGGCAUAAAGAAUAAGAAUAAGAGGAAGUGAACAGCAGUGCGAAGAAGAAAGGAAGAAUAAGAAAAUAAAGAUAAGAGGCAGAGCGGAAGAGAGAGGAGGGGGGAGAUAAGUCAGAGGGACGCGGAACGAAGAGAGGAAAGCAGCAAAGCUGCCAGCGGAAAGAAAAGGUUGCCCUUGCAGCCUUGAAAAAAAAAGCAAAAAAUAAAGGAGAGGUCAGGAGGGGAGAGAGGUUAGAGUGCGAAAACAGAGAGAGAGAAGGCGGGAGCAGCGCAGCAGAGCACAGCAGCAGGUGCAGGGAAGUCAGGAGCUAGGCAGAUCUUCUUUUCUUGGUUUUAUCUUCUCAAACCCAUGUUUUACUUUUGGUUUAAUUUGAUAAUAAUGUGUAACUAAAUUUAUUUUGGCUAGAGGUUAAUUCAAAGCCAUGAAUAUAUUUGUAAUAUGAAUUGAUUACCUUCAGUUGUGAUUUCUGAGUUGUGAUUUAAUUUGCUUAACUGCUUGAUUGAUAACUUAUUUUUGUAUGUCGAUUAAGAAUGCAUACUUAAUUUACAUGCAUGAAUUUGAUGCUAGAAUAUAAGUGAAUUUCACCUAAUCGUUAUGAACUUAUAUUCACAAGUAGUGAAGGUUGUUAUCCACAAUCGUGUUAAGUGAAUUCUAGGCUGGAUUAACAUGCGUAUUCCAUAGUUAUGAAUGCCUAGUCAAUGUUUAUGAUUUCCGUUGAACUUAAUGAUCUUUGUUGAAUGUCUCUAUCAUGCGUAUUCCAUAGUUAGGGACUUUGAUGAGGAAUAAUUUGGUUGUAAUGCGUAUUCCAUUCAAUCCAAUGAAUCUAGGGAAAUCUAAGAGUUAAUUUAAGCGGACCUAAUUAACUUGGAACAUUGUCAUUCACAAUUUAUUGAAAGAACAACUGAAAAUCAAUUUAGGUUGCAUAUGUGUCAUGUGUGGAGAAGAACCCUCUAGCUAGUCCGUCACCUAUCCUUUCACCUUAAUUUCAUGCUUUUGUCAACUCUGUAAUUUAUUUAAGUUUAAUUUACUUCUCGUCAAAACCAAACCCCCCCAUUAUUAAAUUAUAUUAUUUAGUUAAUUUUCAUUGUUGUUAGUCAUUUAAUUCAAUUUCCGUCCAUUUCAGUUUCUAGUGUCUAAUUUGAUUGUUUUCAUUAUUUUGAGUCAUUCUAAGUGUGUUUCGAGUUAUUAGAGUUUUUAGCCUAGUUUUGUGUCCUUGAGUCUUGUUUAAUAUUUUUAAAUUAAUUUAGAAUAGAUUAGCAAUCCCUCCUAAUCCCCGGCCUAGAACGAUACCCUACUUACAUCUAUAAUACAAUUGUCAAAAAGAGGGUUUAAUUGGUGUGUCAAGUAAUUUUCACAUCAAGCACUUAAGGCAAUAGCAGACAUAUUGUCACAGUGAAUCGUUGGUGGAGCAUCCAAAAAUACACUCAAAUCCUUCAAUAUAUUUCGAAUCCAAGCUAUAUCUACGGCAGUAUGUGCUAAGGCUUUAUAUUCAGCCUCAGUAGAACUCCUGGAUAUCGAGUUUUGUUUCUUCGAUUGCCAAGAAAUUGGAUUACUACCCAAGUACACGACAUAACCAGUGAUAGACCGACGAGUAUUCAAGUCUGUAGCCCAAUAAGAAUCAGAAAAUGCAGUAAGCUUUGAAACUGUGUUUGCAGAAAAAGCAAUACCAAUGUUCAUGGUUUCUUGAAGAUAACGAAUGAUUCAUUUAACAACGCCAAAAUGAACAUCAGUUGGUGAGGACAUCAACUGACAUACUGUGUUUACAGCAAAGGCAAUAUCAGGCCUAGUAAAGGUCAUAUAUUGUAAAGAUCCCACAAUACUUAUGUAAGGUUGGAUCUGUCAAUAAUUGUCCCUCAGAGUGUAACAUUUGAUGAUGAGGUUUACAAGGAGUGGUUGCUGGUUUACAUGAUUCCAUACCUGCUUUAUGGACGAGAUCUUUGAUAUACUUAGACUGAUUAACAAAAACACUGCCAUUUGCUUUAUAUUGAACUUGUAAACCCAAAAAAUAUGUAAGUUGUCCCAUAUCCUUUAACUCGAAUACCUCAGAUAAUUAUUGAAUCACUUUUUGGAUCUUCAAAGGAUUAGAACCAGUUAAGAUGAUAUCAUGAACAUAAAGUAAUAAGAUAAUGAUAUCAGAGUCAUCCUUCUUGACAAACAAACUUGUAUCAGAAGUUGAUGCAUGAAACUCCAUAACUGUCAAAUAACUUGUAAACUUUGAAUUCCACACUCGUGGAGCCUGUUUCAAGCCAUAUGAUGUAUCAAUAAAUCCUUGUGGUUGCUGCAUAUAAACUUCUUUUUGUAAAUCUCCGUGUAGAAAAGCGUUCUUGAUAUCUAAUUGGCGAAGAGGCCAAUGAUUCAUUGCAGCUAAAGAAAGAAUAAUCCUUAUAGUAGUAUGUCCGACAACAGGACUAAAUGUGUCCAAGUAGUCAAUACCAUGUUCUUGGGAGAACCCUUGAGCUACAAGCCUUGCUUUAUACCUGGAGACACUGCCAUCAAAGUUUUUCUUCACUUUGUAUUCCCAUUUGUUUCCUACAAUUGUUCUGUCUUCAGGUGCAGGAACCAAUAGCCAAGUUCCUUGUGCUCGAAGUGAAUCAUAUUUCUCCUGCAUUGCCUUUUGCCACUGUGAAAUAGUAGGAGCUUUCCGAAAUGUCUUAGGUUCUGAAGCAUCAGUGAUCUCAGAAAGAAAGGAAUAGCCACCCGUGAAAGGUUCUUCAUCAGUGAUUUGGAGACAACAAAGCUCAGGACAUUGUGCUACUAAAGCAGCAUAAUUUUGUCCCUCAAUUGUUCCACUCUUCAAUCUAGGGACCAUUGAGUGAGUCAAUGGUGUAGUAUGUAAAAUGAGAUCAAAUAGAGAUAAAUCAGGAAGGAUUACCUCAAGUUGUGACUCAGAGUGGACAAGCAACAAGGAUUGUGUACCAGAGUGAUGAUGUGUAAGAGAGUGAUGAUGUGAAGAGCUUGGAGAUGCAUAUAGAAGAUUGGUUUCAGUCGAAUUUGUAUCUUGAUCACUAGGUUGAAUCACCUGUGUAUUGUCCGAACUAGAAAUAUUCAAUUAACCAACCACAUUUAUACUUUCACAAUUUGCAGGAAUACUGUGAUGUGAACCAGUAUCAUUUGCUGAUAUAUGUAUAGAACUAGCUGCUUGUGAAUCAUGCUGUAUUUAUGUAUGAGGCAGGACUCUUGCACUUGGAACUUGUAACUGAAUCAAAACAGGUGUCUGAGAACACCUAUAUGUAGCUGUAGAAUCCUUAGAUGGCAAAACUUGUUUAAACGGAUAUACAUCUUCAUCAUGUAGUACAUGCCCUGACAGAAUGAACUUUCUAGUCUUGAUAUCAUAACAAAUAACUCCUUUAUAUCCAUGAGCAAAACCAAGAAAUACACAUUGAGCUGACUGUAGCUCCAAUUUAUUCUUAUUGAAUGAUCUUAUCAAGAUAGAGCAGCCAUAAGAAACUCUUAACUUUGGAGGAAUAUGAAGUUUCCAAAUAAGAUUCCAUCGCCGGAAAAGCACAAGGCCUAAUGGCCCAAAAAUAAGCAGAUUUAACUGAAAAAUUACCAUCAUUUAUUCCACUUCAGAUACACUUGGCAGUCAAAGCAUCAAAACUAAUUGGAAUGCUAAGAAUUUGUUCAACCACCUCUUUAGUAAAACAAGUAAUAGUGGAUCCAAACCAUUAUUGUAACAAUAGUUAGCUACAGUAGCCUUAUAUGUAUUGUCGGCGUUACCACACAAUCCCGAUAUACGUCCAGGAUCGACAUGUGAUCUCAUCAAAUACUCAUAUCUCUAACUUACCCCACCUCCGGAAUAUGGCAAAGUGAUGAGUCAAUAUUUACCAUAUAUUUUACCCUAAUCUUAGUAUUAAUUUAUUAGUUAUUUUGGUAGAAUUUUGAUACUUUGUUAUAUAUUUCUAAUAUAGGACAUUCGACUUCAUCUGGAGAAAAAAGUAACCAAACGGAUGAUUUUUGGAGUGAUUCCAAUUGGAGGAUGUUUGUGAGUCUUCGAGAUGAUUAUAUCAAAAUUCCAAAUUUUUCUACCAAGUCGUUUGACCGUGGCAAUGAAAUUAAGGCCCUGCGCGCAGCUUUCUCAGAUUGACAUUUCGGGACAUUUUGCGUAUUUUGAAAGUCAAGAUGUAAUAUUUUGAGGAAGAUUUCUUCUGAGGAUUUGUAUGGGACGUCUCCAUCUUUCAAAAGAGACAUUUUGGGACCAAAUCGGAGUUGAUUUGGUUGGUCAGAAGUCUGAUUUUCUGAGAUCUCCGAAUUCUAGUUCAAAUAGGAAACCUUUUAUUUUCUGUUUUAUUAUUUUAUUAUGUUUCAUAGUUUUAUUGUAAGACCUUUUAGGGUUUUAUUUUGUAUUAGUAUAAAUAAGAUAUUUAGCCAUUAGGGGAAAAGGGGAGGAGAGAAUAGGAGGAGAAUGCACACAAUACUUUGGAGGAUUCAAGUUUAUUUUCAAGGUGUUUUCUAUCCAUGUUCUUAAUAAUAUUUUGUUUUAUAGUUGAUAGUAACUAGUUUCGUUUGCUAGAUCGAGGCCAUGACCCUUAGCAAGAAUACGUAGUUUCUUUUCAAUCUGCUUAUGAUAUUAUGCAUGCAAGUUUUGAAUUAUUAAUCAUCGUGCUUUAAACUAUCUAAUUGUGUUGAUGAUUGGCCGCCAUUAGGAUAUUUAGAAAAGUAAUUUGAUGCAAUUUUGGCGGAGGGCUGUCCCUAGAAUUGGUGCUGGCUUCUUGUGGUUAAUAUGUGUAACUUCUUAGGAUGGAUGACAUGUCUUAAGGGUUAUAUGGUUUUUCAAAAGGAUUUCACAAAACUUUAUGAGUCUUGCAUGUUAACUUUUGAUCUGGACACCACAGACAGGUUGCAUGUUAGAUAUAGGUUCUAUGUUGGAGGUUCCAAGUAAGGCAUACAUUAGGAAAACCUAACCAUCAAAAUAUGCAUUUGUAAUUCAUAAGUAAUUGGAAGAACUACGUAGGAUUGUUAAGGUGAUGGUGAAACCCUAGUGCUUAAAUUUAUUUUCAAAACUAUUUUCUUUGGUUUUCUUUACUUUCCCAAUUUAUAGUGGAUCCAAACCAUUAUUGUAACAAUACUUAGCUACAGUAGCGUUAAGCAUAUUAUCGGUGUCAUGCCCCGAUCCCGACAUACGUCUAGGAUCGACACGUGAUGUCACCAAAUACCCACAUCUCUAACUUACCCUGCCUCUAUGGCAAAGUGAUGAGUCAAUAUUUUACCAUAUAUUUUACCCUAAUCUUAGUAUUAAUUUGUUGGUUAUUUUGGAAGAAUUUUUAUACUUUGUUAUAUAUUUCUAAUGUAGGAUAUUCUACAUCCUCGGGAGAAAAAAGUAACCAAACAGAUGAAUUUUGGAGUGAUUCCAAUUAGAGAAUGUUCGUGAGUCUUUCAAGCUGAUUGUAUCAUAAUUCCAGAUUUUACUAUCAAGCUGUUUGACCGUGGCGAUGAAAUUAAGGCCCAGCACGCAACUUUCCCAUAUUGACGUUUCUGGACGUUUUGGGUAUUUUGAAGGUCAAGAUGUUAUGUUUGGAAGAAGAUUCCUUCUGAUGAUUUGUAUGGGACGUCUCCAGCUUUCAAAAGAGACCUUUUGGGAUGAAAUUGAAGUUGAUUUGUUUGGUCAAAAGUCUGAUUGUCUGAUAACUCCGAAUUCUAGUUCAAAUAGGAAACCUUUUAUUUUCUGUUUUAUUAUUUUAUUAUGUUUCCUAGUUUUAUUCUAAGACCUUUUAGGGUUUUAUUUUGUAUUAGUAUAAAUAAGAUGUUUAGCCAUUAGGGUAAAAGAGGAGGAGAGAAUAAGAGGAGAACACACAUAGUACUUUGGAGGAUUCAAGUUUAUUUUCAAGGUGUUUUCUAUCCAUGUUCUUAAUAAUAUUUUGUAUUAUGGUUGUUAGUAACUAGUUUCGUUUGCUAGGGCGAGGCCACGAGCCUUAGUGAGAAUAUGUAGUUUCUUUUCAAUUUGCUUAUGAUAUAUAUUAUGCAUGCAAGUUUUGAAUUAUUAAUCACUGUGCUUUAAACUAUAUAAUUGUCUUGAUGAUUGGCCACCAUUAGGAUAUUUAAAAAAGUAAUUUGAUGCAAUUUUGGUGGUGGGCUGUCCCUGGAAUUGGUGCUGGCUUCUUGUGGUUAAUAUGUGUAACUUCUUAGGAUGGACGACACGUCUUAAGGGUUAUAUGGUUGUUCAAAAGGAUUUCAUAAAACUUAAUGAGUCUUGCAUGUUCACAUUCGAUCUGGACACCACAGACAGGUUGCAUGUUAGAUAUACGUUCAAUGUUGGAGGUUCCAAGUAGGGCAUACUUUAGGAAAACCAAACCUUCAAAAUAUGCAUGUGUAAUUCAUAAGUAAUUGGAAGAACUACGUAGGAUUGUUAAGGUAACGGUGAAACCCUAGUGCUUAAAUUUAUUUUCAAAAACUAUUUUCUUUGGUUUUCUUUACUCUCCCAAUUUAUUUAAUUGUUUUCAGUUAAAUUCGUUUUUAAUAUUUUAGGUUAUAAAACCAACCUCUUCUAGACUUUAUUUUCAAAUAAUUAAUUAAGAUUUGGUUUUAACAUAAAUUAUGGCUUUUUUUAUUAGCACCCCACAAAAUGUUGAAUGCACCCCACAUUAAAAUUUAAUAUUAAAUGACUUAUUUACCCCACUAUGCAAUGACAAUUUUGACCUUAUUAGGUUUUAAAAAAAUAAAAUAAAAAUAUCUAAAUACACCCCAAAUCAAUGUUUUAGAACCUUCACAUGAGGUAAGACUAUGUUUCAUCGGUGGUUUGGUUAAUUUCAUAUUGCUUUUUUUUUUUUCUUCCGUUGGUUAUUCAUUUUCUUCUUUGCAGGUUACAAAUCCAGCCAGUGGUCCUCCUAGAGAAGGUUUGGUUAUAUCCCUUGAAAUGAACAAUGGAAAGCGACAAAAUAUUUUGGAGGUUAGACCAGAAAAUGCAUCGCAGGUUUGUUGGCAUGUACCACUCUGCCUAUUGAUAUUGAGUUGUAUGGUUCUUAACAAAUAAUUGAGGUGUAUGAUUCUUAGUAAAUAAAUGAGGAUUUGAUAAUAUUUUUUGGUGUAUUUAAAUAGGAUAGCAUACAAGGCAAUACCUCUAUAGGGGACAGUGAGGUUGCAACAACGAGCGUCGUUGAUUACACAAACGCAUUUAAAACAGACGAGGUAACUAUUUUUAGUAUAUUGAAUGUGCAUCUGUGAAUUUCAUGGAAACUCUUGCAUUCUUUUAUGCAACAUAGUGCAUUAGGUUCAUAAUAGGGACUAACAUAUGGGUUGGAAUCUUAGCAUGUCUACAAACAUUUUGUUAGUGGCAAAUGUCAAUGAUCUUGUAUGUACAGGUGUUCAAAAGUAAAAAUGAUUUCCUUGAUUGGACUCGCGCACAAGGAAAAAAGAAUAAUAUGGUUAUUGUCAUUAAGAGGUCUGAUGCGGGAAGGGUUGACCGAAUGAGGAAGAGAGCUCGAAUAACAUUUGCUUGUGAGAGACAUGGCGAGUAUCGAUCCAUAUUGAGGAAGUCUGAUAUUAAUGACCAAAAUUCUGAUGCAAAUAAUAAGAAGAAGAAAGAACCCAGGAAUACUGGUAUUAAAAAAUACGGAUGUCCAUUUAUGUUGAAAGGAGUCAACGUUGGAGAAGGAGAUGAAUGGAAAUUGGAGGUUGAGUGUGGGGUGCAUAACCAUACUUAUUCACAGUAUCUUGAAGGGCAUUCUUUUGUCGGACGAUUAACUAAAGAGCAAAAUGAACUUUUAGUUGACAUGUCUACAAGUUUAGUGAGACCCAAAGUUAUUUUGAACACCAUAAAGACAAAAGAUCCACUUAAUGUAACAACGAUGAGGACAAUAUACAAUGCAAGACACUAUCAUCGGACAAAAGAAAACGCAGGGAAAUCAGAAAUGCAACAGUUGUUAUGUAAGUUGGCUGAGUACAACUAUAUUGAGCAUCAUCAAAGUAUUGGUAUUGAUAAUGUUGUUAGUGACUUGUUUUGGACUCAACCAAUUAAUGUCGAUAUCUUACAUUGUUUCGCACAUGUACUUAUCAUGGAUUGCACGUACAAGACUAAUAGGCAUCGUUUCCACUCCUGGAGAUUGUAAGGGUAACUUCAACUAAUAUUACAUUGUCGGUUGCAUUUGCUUUCAUUGACCAUGAGAAGGAAGACAAUUACACAUGCGCAUUGACAAGAUUGAAGACUCUAAUGAAUGAUGAUUGUAUUCCUGGUGUGAUUGUCACUAGGGGUGGGUUCGGUUUAAAUCGGUUCGGUUUUUUGCCAAAACCGAAACCAAACCAAAAUUUCGGUUCGGUUCAAUUUUUUUUCUGUUUUUUUCGGUUCGGUUUUUUCCGGUUCGGUUUCGGUUCGGUUUUGGUUUUUUGUUUUUAUUUUUUUUCAAAGAAUGAAAAACAUUGAAAUUUUAAAUUUUAACAUAUCCAACACAAUCAUAACAUAAACAUUCUAACUAGAAUCAAAGACAAUGAAAAUAAACAUUUAAAGUUGAACUAAAAUCAUCAAUCAAGUCUUUCAAAGUCCAAACUAACAACCUCACAACACAAAAAUCACACAAAAAUCGUACAAAUGACUUAGAAAAGUUAAAUUGUAUGAUGUUGUUCAAAGAUCAGUGUUGUUUGCUUGUAACUGCAUGUUGACAACUUGAUUAGUAAAGGUAAUACGUGGGUGGAUUUAUUUAGUGUGUGUUGGAUUCUUUUCCAUCACAAAUUACCCAAGUAAUCUACCCGAAAUAAAUGUUUAUGGAUUAUGUUACAUGUUAUAUGAGAGUAGAUUUGGAAAAGAAAGCUGGCGUAGAAGUAGACAGUGCUAUGGAGAUGGAUGUAGGUACUUCGGGAAGAGGUUUGGUUCCGGAACCUUAUAUGGGGGAGAAAUAAUAGGUUAGGGUUUAGAGUUUUUAUAGGCCUUUUUUUUAAUAUUUUGAGCUUAAAGUUUGGCAACACAUUGGGUUAGCACAUUUUAACUUACAAAUUGGGUUUAGAAAAUAAUACCCAAAACAAAUAAUUAAAUAAAAAAUUUAAUUUAAUUAAUUCGGUUCGGUUCGGUUCGGUUUGGUUCGGUUUCUAGAUCACUAAAACUGAACCGAACCAAAAGAAUUCGGUUCGGUUCGGUUUUUUCAAUUCGGUUCGGUUUUUUUGUUCGGUUCGGUUUUUUCGGUUUCGGUUCGGUUUGGUUUUCGGUUUUUUUCGGUUUUCGGUUUUUUGAACCCACCCCUAAUUGUCACUGAUCGAGACUUAGCAAACUAAACUGAAAUAUAUUGAUUGCAAGGCAAGAGUACAAUUGUAAAAACAAGGUUUACUUUUUAAUGGAGGUUGUGUAGGAAAAAUUACAUUCAAAUUCAUUGCGGACCUCUUUUUUUUCUAAGACCAAAUCAAAGAAAAAAAUAAUUGAAUCAAUGAAUUACUAUAGCAGCUCCAUUUCUGACAAUGGCAAGAGGUCUCUGUGCUAAUCAAACUACCCCGAAAUUUUAUCCUAAAACUAUACUCGAGCUCCACCUUAUCUGCAAUCUCAAAUGCCUUCUCAAUAUCAUUUCAUGAUAAACCUGCUAUCCCUAUUUAUAAGAAAUUAAGCACAAGCUAGCUCAAGUUAUGGUCUUUAAUUAAUAUUAAUUUCGACAAAUCAGCUUCCCAUCUCUUUCAUUCAUAUGAACAUGGCGCAAUAUUUGUUUAAAUUAGCUGUUCGGGUUGAUUUCUUUGUAUAACUCUUCUGCCAAUUCUGCAACUUGUAGACGUAAUUCCCAUUUCAAAAUUUUAAAAAAUAAAAUAAAAUCCAAAACUAAUGUAAGAUAAAUAAAGACUUUUUUAUAUCAUAAAAUAAGACUUUCAAACUUGUAUACAAGACUAUAGUGACAAAAUCAAACACAUUGAUGGGUGCGCAUGUUCCUUCAACAUCUGUUAUGUGCGUUUAAACUGAGCGUCGAGUCUUUUUUAAGCACCUUUAAAAGUUUAACAAACUAACUAACUCCAAUAGCUGAUAUGGCACUUAUGAUGAUGUGUCAAUCACUAUAUAUCUUCAACAUCCCCCCGCAAUCUCAACUGGGAUUUUCCAGCUUGAGAUUGUAAAAAUGUUUGACAAAUGAAAGACUGUGAAGACCUUUGGUAAGAACAUCGGGAGUUUGCUCCUCAGUUGGGAUAUACAACACCUCCAAAUCGCCUUGCUGCACUCGUUCUCAGUUUAUAUCAAGGUGUUUAAUUCUGAAAUGAAACACCAGAUUGGCACUUAAGGCAAUAGCAGACAUAUUCUUACAGUGAAUCGUUGGUGGAGCAUCCAAAAAUACACCCAAAUCCUUCAAUAUAUUUCGAAUUCAAGCUAUAUGUGCCGCAGUAUGUGCUAAGGCUUUAUAUUCAGCCUCAGUAGAACUCCUGGAUACCGAGUUUUCUUUCUUCGAUUGCCAAGAAAUUGGAUUAUUGCCUACGUACACGACAUAACUAGUGAUAGACCGACGAGUAUUCAAGUAUGCAGCCCAAUCAGAAUCAGAAAACGCAGUAAGCUUUGAAACUGUGUUUGCAGAAAAAGUAAUACCAAUGUUCAUGGUUCCUUGAAGAUAACGAAUGAUUCGUUUAACAAUGCCAAAAUGAACAUCAGUUGGUGAGGACAUAAACUGACAUACUGUGUUUACAGCAAAGGCAAUAUCAGGCCUAGUAAAGGUUAGAUAUUGUAAAGAUCCCACAAUGCUUCUGUAGGAGGUUGGAUCUGUCAAUAAUUGUCCCUUAGAGUGUAACAUUUGAUGAUGAGGUUUACAAGGAGUGGUUGCUGGUUUACAUGAUUCCAUACCUGCUUUAUGGACGAGAUCUUUGAUACACUUAGACUGAUUAACAAAAACACUGCCAUCUGCUUUAUAUUGAACUUAUAAACGCAAAAAAUAUGUAAGUUGUCCCAUAUCCUUUAACUCGAAUACCUCAGAUAAUUAUUGAAUCACUUUUUGGAUCUUCAAGGAUUAUAACCAGUUAAGAUGAUAUCAUCAACAUAAAGUAAUAAGAUGAUGAUAUCAGAGCCAUCCUUCUUGACAAACAAACUUGUAUCAGAAGCUGAUGCAUGAAACUCCAUAACUGUCAAAUGACCAUAUACAUAAUAACUGUCAAAUAACUAUAUACAUAAUAACUCCAUAGAGUGAAGAUAGGAUAUUUAAACUCUUCUGUACUUAGAGAUAUGGUUGAUGUGGGAUAUUUCAAUACCUAUAUAUAUAUAUAUAUAUAUAUAUAUAUAGUAAAAACUACAUACAUAAUAAUACUACCAUAAUAGUUGUCACAAUCAAUUCAUCUCGCACGUCAUAUCAAAGAAAGUAAGUCAUUCAUAAAAUCAAAGUAAUAGAAUAUGAUUUUAUCAAUAUCGUAGAUGAUUCUUAUAAUCAUGUAUAUGCACGUUGGUGCGACUUAGAUUCCAAUGAUCUCUCUACUAAAUAUAUUUAUUUCAUAAACGCUAUAAUUUGUAUACAUAAUAAAUGAUUUGAUCAUAUUAAUUCUGCAUAGUCCCCUCAAGUUGGAUAGUAAAUGUCAUAAUUAAGGCUUUUUAGUCAAAAUGGAGUCCUUGAGAUUUGCCUAACUCAUUACCUUGGUCCCUGAGAUUCAAAAUCAAUAGAAGUGAUCCAUGAGAUAGUCCACCAUCAAUCAUUUUGGUCCUUCAGUGAAAAAUUGUGUUAAAUAAGAAUUAAAAUGACAAAAUUACCCUCAAUGUAAUAAACAAUAGGCCAACAUGAUUUGACAAAAAUUGAGGGUAUUUUUAAUAUUUUAUCCUUAUUUUAUGGAGAUUUUUCACUGAAUGAUGAAAAUGAUUGAUUGUGAACAAACCCAAGUACCAAUUCUAUCAAUUUCAAAUCUCAAGGACCAAAGCAAGGAGUUAUGCAAAUCUCAAUAACCAUUUUAACUAAAAAAUUAUUAUUCCUAAUUUCCUAAAGCCCUUGGGAAGGUAUCUGCCAAUUGUACCCGAGAAGAAGUGCAGCAAGGAAAAUUUUAUAAAGACAAUGGAUACAUGCCACUUCGCUGCAAAAAACGAUACUUAAAGGACAAUUUUCCCGAGUUUUUCACCGCCGUUUUUACCGUUUGCUGCAAAAAACAAAUACUCUCCCCUUGCGAGCUCCGUCGUCAAUUCCCUUCACGAACUUUGAGUCCCUCUGAAAAAAUGAUUACAUGAAAUUUGAAUUUUUCAAACUUUGUGUCUGGUUAUAUCUAACGAUCCCUAAUUCUAAAUUUAUGGUUUAGAUAUAUAAAAAAGAUAUCUCGGGUACUUCAUUGCUAUCCAUUAAGCUCCCCACUUUCAAGCAAAGCAAAAAAUUCUAAUUGAGUUGAGUUUUGAACAUGCUGAUUAGUUAGACAACUGAAUUACUAAUCUUUAUUAUUAUUGCAACAAACACACGGAUUACACUAAAAGCUAGUGAAUCAUACACUUGCAGAUGACUUAUCCAAACACAAAGAUAAGACAUGAUUUUAUUAUUAUUGCUAUAAACACACGAAUUACAACGAAAUUCAAAAACUAAAAACAAGGAAAAAAGUAGUGAUGAAAACCAAUGCCACUUCCGGGAACACGAUUGCAUUCGCACAUGCAACAAGCCUUUUAAACCCAUAGGUGACCCAAAUGGGACGAGUGAAGUCUCGUGAGGGUUUCCAGAGACGUUACCCACAAACAUCAUGCAUACGGAUCAUCAACAUCUGACUUGGGAGACUGAGUAGAUAUCCACCCCUCCAGCAUCAGGUUGUUUUUGGUUAAGGCGUAAUUCGAAUCUGUUUUCAAUGAACGGCCUGGUUAUGAGAUCGCUUUGCAAGUGACGUAAUCGGCAGCGCGUGAUUAGGUUGUUGCUGUCAGGUGGUCCGACAGGCUCGACCUUGAACAAUGUGCAAGCCCAAUUGUCUUUGGUUUCAUUUCGGUCAGCAGCUGCGGCCAGGACCAAUAGCUUGUUUUGGUCCACCCUUCUCAAGUAGUUGCCAUUGUAGGAGCAUUUGAUAUGCACGUAAUUCUUGUCGGCGUAGUCCUCAUUGUUUGGCUUCUCGGUGGUGAACUUUAUGAACCUGCUGUUUUCAUUGUCCUCGGAAAACUGGACAAUCUCAUUAAGGUCGCUUUCUGCAUCAAGUUGAUAGCGCAAAUACUUGUUGUUGAUAUCUGCUUUCAGCAGAAAAGGGCUUGGUAGUACAGGUGGAGCCAUAUCGUAUAGUGUAGUUGGGAUUGGGAUGCUCUCUCUUUUUAAUUCUCUGUUGAUGAUCUAAUUUGCUUGCUGUGAAUGUGAUGCUUAGUUUAAACCUGCUAUCCUAUUUAUAAGAAAUUAAGCACAAGCUAGCUCAAGUUAUGGUCUUUAAUUAAUAUUAAUUUCGACAAAUCAGUUUCCCAUCUCUUUCAUUGAUAUGAACAUGGCUGAUCUCAUUGGUGUGGCGCAAUAUUUGUUAAAUUAGCCGUUCGGGUUGAUUUCUUUGUACAACUCAUCUGCCAAUUCUACAACUUGUAGACCUAAUUCCCAGUACAAAAUUAAAAAAAAAUUAAAAUCCAAAACUAAUAUAAGAUAAAUAAAGACUUUUUAUAUCAUAAAAUAAGACUUUCUAACUUGUAUACAAGACUAUAGUGACAAGAUCAAACACAUUGAUGGGUGCGCAUUUUCCAUCAACAUCUGUUCUGUGUGUUUAAACUGACCGUGGAGUCUUUUUAGCAAUUAAAAGUUUUGUAUCAUGUAAUUGUCUUGGUUUGAUAAGACCUACAUCUAGAUGAGUUGCUUCUGAAGACUAAUGUAAAACUUUAUGUUGAUAUUUCUUGAGGGUGAAACAUCGUUUGAGAAACGUGUAGGGCCUCAUUACAAUGUUUUCAUUUAGUUUUUAACUUUUGGUUUAAAUAUUCUACUAUGAAUAAAUUUGUGGCUUUAAUAACUAGUAAAACCACUUUCAAAUAUCUUAGUAUCGGCUUUCAGAACAAAGGGGUUUGCUAGUACAGGUGGAGCCAUGUUGUAUAGUGUAGCUGGGAUUGGGAUGAUCUCUCUCUCUUUUUUGUUUUUUGUUUUUCCUUUAAUUUGCUUGCUUUGAAUGUGAUGCUCAGUUCAAACCUACUAUCCUAUUUCUAAGAAAUUAAGCACAAGCUAUCUCAAGUUAUGGACUUUAAUUAAUAUUAAUUUCCUCAAUCAGUUUCCCAUAUCUUUCAUUGAUACGAACAUGGCUGAUCUCAUUGGUGUGACGCAAGAUUUGUUAAAAUAGCGAUCGGAUUGAUUUUUCUUUGUAUAACUCUUCUGCCAAUUCUGAACUUGUACAUAUAAUUCCCAUUAUAAAAUAAAUAAAUAAAAUUCAAAACUCAUAUAAAAUAAAUAGAGACUUUUUAUAGCAUAUAAAAUAAGACUUUGUAACUUGUACAUAGUUACUGAUAACAUUCAUCUAAGAACUAACAGAUGAAUGUAUGCAAGCAAUAUUGAAGAAAUACAGAGAGAAAGAUCGAAAGGAAUAGAGAGAGAAAUAGAGAAAGAAAUGAGUGAAAGCUUUGUUAUUUCAUAAGAACAAAAGAUCAUCACAAAAGAACCCUGAUUCCUUCUUAUAUAGUCUGCACAUGUAGCUUAUCAGCUAAGCCACCUGUGUAACUAAUUCUUAACAAACUAACUAACUCCAAUAGCUGAUAUGGCACUUAUGAUGAUGUGUCAAUCACUAUAUAUCUUCAACAUCCCCCCGCAAUCUCAACUGGGAUUUUCUAGCUUGAGAUUGUAAAAAUGUUAGACAAAUGAAGGACUGUGAAGACCUUUGGUAAGAACAUCGGCAGUUUGCUCCUCAGUUGGGAUAUACAACACCUCCAAAUCGCCUUCAUGCACUCGUUCUCGUACAAAAUGGUAGUAUGUAUUAAGGUGUUUAAUUCUUGAAUGAAACACCAGAUUAGCACUUAAGGCAAUAGCGGACAUAUUGUCACAGUGAAUCGUUGGUGGAGCAUCCAAAAAUACACUCAAAUCCUUCAAUAUAUUUCGAAUCCAAGCUAUAUCUGCGGCAGUAUGUGCUAAGGCUUUAUAUUCAGCCUCAGUAGAACUCCUGGAUACCGAGUUUUGUUUCUUCGAUUGCCAAGAAAUUGGAUUACUACCCAAGUACACGACAUAACCAGUGAUAGACUGACGAGUAUUCAAGUCUGUAGCCCAAUAAGAAUCAGAAAACGCAGUAAGCUUUGAAACUGUGUUUGCAGAAAAAGCAAUACCAAUGUUCAUGGUUUCUUGAAGAUAACGAAUGAUUCAUUUAACAACGCCAAAAUGAACAUCAGUUGGUGAGGACAUAAACUGACAUACUGUGUUUACAGCAAAGGCAAUAUCAGGCCUAGUAAAGGUCAGAUAUUGUAAAGAUCCCACAAUACUUAUGUAAAAGGUUGGAUCUGUCAAUAAUUGUCCCUCAGAGUGUAACAUUUGAUAAUGAGGUUUACAAGGUGUGGUUGCUGGUUUACAUGAUUCCAUACCUGCUUUAUGGACGAGAUCUUUGAUAUACUUAGACUGAUUAACAAAAACACUGCCAUUUGCUUUAUAUUGAACUUGUAAACCCAAAAAAUAUGUAAGUUGUCCCAUAUCCUUUAACUCGAAUACCUCAGAUAAUUAUUGAAUCACUUUUUGGAUCUUCAAAGGAUUAGAACCAGUUAAGAUGAUAUCAUGAACAUAAAGUAAUAAGAUAAUGAUAUCAGAGUCAUCCUUCUUGACAAACAAACUUGUAUCAGAAGUUGAUGCAUGAAACUCCAUAACUGUCAAAUAACUUGUAAACUUCGAAUUCCACACUCGUGGAGCCUGUUUCAAGCCAUAUAAUGACUUGACCAAUUUGCAAACAUGAGAAAGAUAUGAUGUAUCAAUAAACCCUUAUGGUUCCUGCAUAUAAACUUCUUUUUGUAAAUCCCCGUGUAGAAAAGCGUUCUUGAUAUCUAAUUGGCGAAGAGGCCAAUGAUUCAUUGCAGCUAAAGAAAGAAUAAUCCUUACAGUAGUAUGUCCGACAACAGGACUAAAUGUGUCCAAGUAGUCAAUACCAUGUUCUUGGGAGAACCCUUGAGCUACAAGCCUUGCUUUAUACCUGGAGACACUGCCAUCAGAGUUUUUCUUCACUUUUUGUUCUGUCUUCAGGUGCAGGAACCAAUAGCCAAGUUCCUUGUGCUCGAAGUGAAUCAUAUUUCUCCUGCAUUGCCUUUUGCCACUGUGAAAUAGUAGGAGCUUUCCGAAAUGUCUUAGGUUCUGAAGCAUCAGUGAUCUCAGAAAGAAAGGAAUAGCCACCCGUGAAAGGUUCUUCAUCAGUGAUUUGGAGACAACAAAGCUCAGGACAUUGUGCUACUAAAGCAGCAUAAUUUUGUCCCUCAAUUGUUCCACUCUUCAAUCUAGGGACCAUUGAGUGAGUCAAUGGUGUAGUAUGUAAAAUGAGAUCAAAUAGAGAUAAAUCAGGAAGGAUUACCUUAAGUUGUGACUUAGAGUGGACAAGCAACAAGGAUUGUGUACCAGAGUGAUGAUGUGUAGGAGAGUGAUGAUGUGAAGAGUUUGGAGAUGCAUAUAGAAGAUUGGUUUCAGUCGAAUUUGUAUCUUGAUCACUAGGUUGAAUCACUUGUGUAUUGUCCGAACUAGAAACAUUCAAUUAACCAACCACAUAUAUACUUUCACAAUUUGCAGGAAUACUGUGAUGUGAACCAGUAUCAUUUGCUGAUAUAUGUAUAGAACUAGCUGCUUGUGAAUCAUGCUGUAUUUAUGUAUGAGGCAGGACUCUUGCACUUGGAACUUGUAACUGAAUCAAAACAGGUGUCUGAGAACACCUAUAUGUAGCUGUAGAAUCCUUAGAUGGCAAAACUUGUUUAAACGGAUAUACAUCUUCAUCAUGUAGUACAUGCCUUGACAGAAUGAACUUUCUAGUCUUGAUAUCAUAACAAAUAACUCCUUUAUAUCCAUGAGCAAAACCAAGAAAUACACAUUGAGCUGACCGUAGCUCCAAUUUAUUCUUAUUGAAUGAUCUUAUCAAGAUAGAGCAGCCAUAAGAAACUCUUAACUUUGGAGGAAUAUGAAGUUUCCAAAUGAGAUUCCAUCGCCGGAAAAGCACAAGGCCUAAUGGCCCAAAAGUAAGCAGAUUUAACUGAAAAAUUACCAUCAUUUAUUCCACUUCAGAUACACUUGGCAGUCAAAGCAUCAAAACUAAUUGGAAUGCUAAGAAUUUGUUCAACCACCUCUUUAGUAAAACAAGUAAUAGUGGAUCCAAACCAUUAUUGUAACAAUAGUUAGCUACAGUAGCCUUAUAUGUAUUGUCGGCGUUACCACACAAUCCCGAUAUACGUCCAGGAUCGACAUGUGAUCUCAUCAAAUACUCAUAUCUCUAACUUACCCCACCUCCGGAAUAUGGCAAAGUGAUGAGUCAAUAUUUACCAUAUAUUUUACCCUAAUCUUAGUAUUAAUUUAUUAAUUAUUUUGGUAGAAUUUUGAUACUUUGUUAUAUAUUUCUAACAUAGGACAUUCGACUUCAUCUGGAGAAAAAAGUAACCAAACGGAUGAUUUUUGGAGUGAUUCCAAUUGGAGGAUGUUUGUGAGUCUUUCGAGAUGAUUAUAUCAAAAUUCCAAAUUUUUCUACCUAGCCGUUUGACCGUGGCAAUGAAAUUAAGGCCCUGCGCGCAGCUUUCUCAGAUUGACAUUUCAGGACAUUUCGGGACAUUUUUUCAAUUCGGUUCGGUUUUUUUGUUCGGUUCGGUUUUUUCGGUUUCGGUUCGGUUUGGUUUUCGGUUUUUUUCGGUUUUCGGUUUUUUGAACCCACCCCUAAUUGUCACUGAUCGAGACUUAGCAAACUAAACUGAAAUAUAUUGAUUGCAAGGCAAGAGUACAAUUGUAAAAACAAGGUUUACUUUUUAAUGGAGGUUGUGUAGGAAAAAUUACAUUCAAAUUCAUUGCGGACCUCUUUUUUUUCUAAGACCAAAUCAAAGAAAAAAAUAAUUGAAUCAAUGAAUUACUAUAGCAGCUCCAUUUCUGACAAUGGCAAGAGGUCUCUGUGCUAAUCAAACUACCCGAAAUUUAUCCUAAAACUAUACUCGAGCUCCACCUUAUCUGCAAUCUCAAAUGCCUUCUCAAUAUCAUUUCAUGAUAAACCUGCUAUCCUAUUUAUAAGAAAUUAAGCACAAGCUAGCUCAAGUUAUGGUCUUUAAUUAAUAUUAAUUUCGACAAAUCAGCUUCCCAUCUCUUUCAUUCAUAUGAACAUGGCGCAAUAUUUGUUAAAUUAGCUGUUCGGGUUGAUUUCUUUGUAUAACUCUUCUGCCAAUUCUGCAACUUGUAGACGUAAUUCCCAUUUCAAAAUUUUAAAAAAUAAAAUAAAAUCCAAAACUAAUGUAAGAUAAAUAAAGACUUUUUAUAUCAUAAAAUAAGACUUUCAAACUUGUAUACAAGACUAUAGUGACAAAAUCAAACACAUUGAUGGGUGCGCAUGUUCCUUCAACAUCUGUUAUGUGCGUUUAAACUGAGCGUCGAGUCUUUUUUAGCAAUUAAAAGUUUUGUAUCAUGUAAUUGUCUUGGUUUGAUAAGACCUACAUCUGGAUAAGUUGCUUCUGAAGACUAAUGUAAAACUUUAUGUUGAUAAUUCUUGAGGGUGAAACAUCGUUUGAGAAAUGUUUUGGACCUCAUUACAAUUUUUUCAUUUAUUUUUUAACUUUUGGUUUAAAUAUUCUACUACAAAUACAUUUGUGGCUUCAAUAACUACUAAAACCACUUUCAAAUAUCUUAGUAUUGGCUUUCAGAACAAAGGGGUUUGGUAGUACAGGUUGAGCCAUGUUGUAUAGUGUAGCUGGGAUUGGGACGAUCUCUCUCUUUAUUUAUUUAUUUUUUUCCUUUAAUUUGCUUGCUUUGAAUGUGAUGCUCAGUUCAAACCUACUAUCCUAUUUCUAAGAAAUUAAGCACAAGCUAUCUCAAGUUAUGGUCUUUAAUUAAUAUUAAUUUCCUCAAUCAGUUUCCCAUUUCUUUCAUUGAUACGAACAUGGCUGAUCUCAUUGGUGUGACGCAAGAUUUGUUAAAAUAGCUGAUCGGAUUGAUUUUUUCUUUGUACCCGAGAAGAAAUGCAGGAAGGAGGAAUUUAUAAAGACAACGGAUACCUGCUCUUCGCUGCAAAAAACGACACUUAAAAGGACAAUUUUCCCGAGGUUUUCACCGCUGUUUUUACCGUUUGCUGCCAAAAACAAAUACUCUCCCCUUGCGAGCUCCGUUGUCAAUUCCCCUCGCGAACUUUGAGUCCCUCUGAAAAAAUGAUUAAGUGAAAUUUGAAUUUUUCAAACUUUGUGUUUGGUUAUAUCUAACAAUCCCUAAUUCCAAAUUUAUGGUUUAGAUAUAUAAAAAAGAUAUCUCGGGUACUUCAUUGCUAUCCAUUAAGCUCCCCACUUUCAAACAAAGCAGAAAAUUCUAAUUGAGUUGGGUUUUGAACAUGCAGAUUAGUUAGACAACUGAAUUACCAAUCCUUAUUAUUAUUGCAACAAACACACGGAUUACACUAAAAGCUAGUGAAUCAUACACUUGCAGAUGACUUAUCCAAACACAAAGAUAAGACAUGAGUUUAUUGUUAAAUUGUGGCCAAGUGGCCAUCACCUUUUGUAUUAAACAAAUAAAAAGAAAAAAAAAAGGGAGACAUCAUGAUGUUGUUUCUUACUUUGUGAUAAUGACAAAUGAUGAUGUUGGAGAAUUAUUUUUUAUUUGGCCCAUGUGGGAAGUCACGGGGUGACUUGAAGGAUUUAUUUAGCAGCAAUUGCUGCUUGUGUGGUUAAGAGAAGAAAACAGAGAGCAGAAGAAAAAGGAAAGAGAGCUGCCGAGAGCAAGAGAGUUGCAGAGAGCCCAAACAGAAAAAGAAGCUGCUGCUUCAUUUGAUUAGUAAUCAUCAACCAAAGUAGUUGUUGUUGUAAUAGUUUUGAGCUAUAUGUAUAGAGAAGAAAUUAUUCAUUAUAUUUCUUUCUCUAUUUGUUUCUUUGGUGUGUGAGAGUUAUUGGGUGUAUUGGGCUUUUGGGUUGUGAGAUUGUCAACACUUUGUAAACUCCCAUUUGGUUGAUAGUGGAUUAUUGGGUGAGCUCCUACUGCUCCGAGGACGUACUCCAGUUACACUGACUGUUGAGGAACCUCGUUAAAAUCUUGGUGUUCUUUUAUAUUUUGUUCUUGCAUUUUCAUUUGAUAAAUUUCCUGUGGGUUAGCUUGAGUUGGUUCCAACGGGUUUGGUGCUAUCCUAGCACAACAAUUGGUAUCAGAGCACUGGUUGCUCUUGGGUACUGUCUAGUUGCCAAAGAUGUCAGACGGGCAAGAUGAGAAUCCUUUUGGAAGCACCUCCGGGUUUGCAAGAACUACGGUGCAAAAUGCAAAGUUCGAAGUGGAAAAGUUUGAUGGCACAAACAACUUCGGGAUGUGGCAAUGUGAGGUCAAAGAUGUGUUGGCUCAACAAGAUCUACUUGCCGCUUUGGGAGAGAAGCCGGAAGCUAUGUCGAAGCCGGAAUGGGAGAAAUUAAAUUUGUGGGCUUGCUCUUCAAUUCGGUUGUGCCUUGCAAAAACUCAGAAGUAUUUUUUGUGAUGCGGGAGACAUUGGCAAGUGUGUGUGGCAAAAAUUGGAAGACAAGUAUAUGACGAAGAGUGCAGAGAACCGGCUACACUUGAAGAAAAAACUCUACCGCUUCCAAUACAAAGAAGGUACAAAAAUGAUUAGACACCUUGAUGCUUUUAAUAAGUUGAUUGCCGACUUGUUAAAUUUAGAUGAGGAUAUUAAGGAUGAAGAUAAGGCCUUAAUAUUGUUGAAUUCCUUGCCGGACUCUUAUGAGCAUUUUGUUACCACUAUUAUGCAUGGUAAAAAAACUGUGAAAUUUGAAGAUGUGUCAAAUGCCUUGAUGAAUUAUGAAAUGAGGCAUAGAGAUAAAAAUCAUGAUAGUACCUCUGAAGCUUUAUUUGUUAGAGGUAGAUCAUCGGAGAGGAGGUCAUCUUCUAGCAGGAAAAAAUCACAAUCUCGACCUAGAGGAAACUCUAAAGGUAGAAAACCUUUGGAAAGGGAUGAAUGUGCCUUUUGUCGUAAUAAGGGCCAUUGGAAGAAAGAUUGUCCUAAAUUGAAGAACAAAGGCAAAGAAAGUUCUGAAGCUAAUGUUGCUGAGGUUGAAACAGAUUUUUCUGAUUUUGCUUUAACCACUUCCUCAUCAUUUGAUUGUGCUACUAAGUGGGUGUUGGAUACGGGUUGUACUCAUCAUAUGACUCCUCACAAGGAUUGGUUUUCAAGCUUGAAAGAGUUUGAUGGUGGCGUUGUGUUCAUGGGAGAUGACAAUCCUUGCACAACAAAAGGGAUUGGUACAGUUCGUUUGAAGUUGCAUGAUGGCAUGGUUAAAGAGUUGACAGGUGUUCGGUAUGUACCGAAUUUGAAGAAAAAUCUUAUUUCUUUGGGUACUUUGGAAUCCAAGGGUUUCAGGUUUCAUUCAGAUGGACAGACAUUGAAAGUUACUUAUGGUGCACAUGUUGUGAUGAAAGCUCCUAGAUGUGGCCAUUUGUAUUUAUUGCAGGGAAGCACUGUGACAGGUGAAGCAUCUGUAGUCUCUGAAAAUAUGGGCACAUCUGAUUCAGAUACUACUAGAUUGUGGCAUAUGAGAUUAGGCCGUACCGGUGAGAAAGCUCUACAAGGGCUUGUGAAACAAGGUCUUCUAAAAGGUGCCAUGACUUGUAAGCUUGAUUUCUGUGAGCAUUGUGUCUUGGGGAAGCAAACUAGAGUGAAGUUUGGUACUGCUGUACAUCAGACGAAGGGCAUUCUUGAUUAUGUGCAUUCGGAUGUUUGGGGUCCUACAAAGACUCCCUCUUUGAGUGGUAGACAUUGGUUCGUGACCUUUGUUGAUGAUUAUUCAAGAAGGUCUUGGGUCUACACUAUGAAGCACAAGAGUGAGCUGUUAAGCAUUUUCUUGGGUUGGAAGAAAAUGGUUGAGAACCAGACUGGGAGAAAGAUUAAGAUUUUGAGAUCGGAUAAUGGUGGUGAAUACACAUCCGAUCCUUUCUUUAAAGUUUGCAAAGAGGAAGGAAUUGUGAGACAUUUCAGUGUUCGGGGAACUCCACAACAAAAUGGAGUUGCAGAAAGAUUGAAUCGAACCUUGCUUGAGAAGGUUAGAUGUAUGUUGUCUCAGUCGGGUUUAAGCAAGUCAUUUUGGGCAGAGGCAGUUAAUUAUGCAUGUCACAUCUCAACCGGUUACCCUCAGCUGCUGUUCAGGGUAAGACACCAAUGGAGGUAUGGACUGGAAAACCUUCUUCUGAUUAUGACUAUAUCCGUAUUUUUGGUUCACCUGCUUAUUUUCAUGUAACUGAAAAUAAACUUGAUCCAAGAGCCAAAAAGGCUAUCUUUCUUGGUUUUAGUAGUGGUGUCAAAGGUUACAGGUUGUGGUGUCCAGAGAUGAAAAAACUUGUAAUCAGCAGAGAUGUGACAUUUGAUGAAGAAAGUAUGUACAAAGUCUCUGAGAAGAAUGUGAAAGAUGUCCAACAGGUGGAGCUUGAGAAAGUUGCCUCUGAUACUUCAAAUCCUAUUUCCGCUGAUGUCGAAGCCACUACAAGUGAAGAAGUUGGAGACCAUGAGAAUGUUGAAGAAGUUGAACUUGAAGAUUCUAUUCAAGUUGAAGAGCAAGUUUCACCUCAAGAGUCUAUUGCUAAGAACAGAGGAAAAAGACAAAUUACCAAGCCAGCUCGGUACAGUGACUAUGUUGCUUUUGCUCUUCCUAUUAUCACUGAUGAGAUUCCAUCCAAUUUUGAGGAAGCUAUUGAGAGUGAGGAGAAGAAAAGGUGGUGCAAUGCCAUGGGUGAUGAAAUGAAUUCUCUCUUGAAGAACAAGACUUGGGAGUUAGCUAAAUUGCCUAAGGGCAAGAAAGCUAUCGGUUGCAAAUGGGUGUAUGCCAAGAAGGAAGAUGCUGAUGAGAAAAGCAAUGUGAGAUUUAAAGCAAGAUUAGUUGCUAAAGGGUAUGCACAAAAGGAGGGCAUUGACUACAAUGAAAUAUUUUCUCCAGUUGUGAAGCGCUCCUCAAUUCGUAUUAUGUUAGCUCUUGUUGCACAAUAUGAUCUUGAGCUUGUGCAACUUGAUGUGAAGACGGCUUUCCUACAUGGUGAUUUGAAUGAAGAGAUCUAUAUGUGUCAACCGGAUGGGUAUUGUGAAAGGGAAGGAAAAUUUGUUUUGCAAAUUGAAGAAAUCGCUUUAUGGCUUGAAGCAAUCUCCAAGGCAAUGGUAUUUGAGGUUUGAUAAAUUUAUGAGAGGCCAAAAUUAUUCUAGAAGUCAAUAUGAUCAUUGUGUGUACUUCAAGAAGUUGCAAGAUGGGUCUUUCAUUUAUUUAUUGAUAUAUGUUGAUGAUAUGUUGAUUGCCUCAAAGAAUGUUGAGGAGAUUGAGAAAUUGAAGAAACAAAUGAAGAAUGAGUUUGAGAUGAAGGAUCUUGGUGAAGCAAAUCCUUGGCAUGGAGAUCACUAGAGAUAGAGAGAAGGGUUUGGUCAGUUUGAAUCAAAGACAAUACCUUGAGAAGUUGAUUCGGAAGUUUGGAGUUCAUGAUUCAACCAAACCGGUUAGUACCCCUUUGGCUCCUCAUUUUAAAUUGAGUUCUCUACAGUGUCCUAAAACUGAUAAAGAGAAGCUGCAAAUGAAAAAUAUACCAUAUGCAAAUUUGGUUGGUAGUUUGAUGUAUGCAAUGGUAUGCUCUAGACCGGAUAUUGCUCAUGCAGUUGGCAUGGUGAGUCGAUAUAUGCAUAAUCCAGGUAAAGAGCACUGGCAAGCAGCUAAGUGGAUAUUGAGAUAUCUCCAUGGUACUCGAGAUGUUGGUUUAUGCUUUGAGAGAGAUGACUCUGGUAUUGGUCAUUUUGCAGUUGGUUAUGUUGAUUCAGAUUAUGCAGGUGAUCUGGAUGGAAGGAAGUCUACUACAGGCUAUGUGUUUACUAUGGCUAAAGGACCAGUUUGUUGGAGGUCCAUUUUGCAGUCGUCUGUUGCCUUGUCUACUACAGAGGCUGAAUAUAUGGCAGUUGCUGAAGCUAUAAAGGAGGCCAUUUGGAUACAUGGGCUGAUUAGAGAUUUGGGGGUUGAUCAGAAGCAGGUGGAGGUACAUUGUGAUAGUCAGAGUGCCAUUUAUUUGGCUAAGUAUCAGGUUCAUCAUGCGAGGACCAAGCACAUAGAUGUGCGUUAUCACUUUGUUCGUGAAAUUGUUGGUGAAGGGGAAAUCAUUCUCCAGAAGAUUCCAACUAAAGACAACCCCGCUGAUAUGUUGACUAAGGUUGUUGGUGUAGCCAAGUUUGUUCACUGUUUGAACUUGGCUCACAUUAUGCCUAUAUAAAGAAGGCGUUGAGCAGUAGGAGUUUUGGAGCAUUUGGCUCGGCAUGAGUUGUUCUCUUGCUAGUGUUCGGGAGUGAUGUUGUGUGCUAAUUGUGUUGGUUGGCUUAUCAUGGCGUUUUCGGAACUUGGCCAAGGUGGAGAUUGUUAAAUUGUGGCCAAGUGGCCAUCACCUUUUGUAUUAAACAAAUAAAAAGAAAAAAAAAAGGGGAGACAUCAUGAUGUUGUUUCUUACUUUGUGAUGAUGACAAAUGAUGAUGUUGGAGAAUUAUUUUUUCUUUGGCCCAUGUGGGAAGUCACGGGGUGACUUGAAGGAUUUAUUUAGCAGCAAUUGCUGCUUGUGUGGUUAAGAGAAGAAAACAGAGAGCAGAAGAAAAAGGAAAGAGAGCUGCCGAGAGCAAGAGAGUUGCAGAGAGCCCAAACAGAAAAAGAAGCUGCUGCUUCAUUUGAUUAGUAAUCAUCAACCAAAGUAGUUGUUGUUGUAAUAGCUUUGAGCUAUAUGUAUAGAGAAUAAAUUAUUCAUUAUAUUUCUUUCUCUAUUUGUUUCUUUGGUGUGUGAGAGUUAUUGGGUGUAUUGGGCUUUUGGGUUGUGAGAUUGUCAACACUUUGUAAACUCCCAUUUGGUUGAUAGUGGAUUAUUGGGUGAGCUCCUACUGCUCCGAGGACGUACUCCAGUUACACUGACUGUUGAGGAACCUCGUUAAAAUCUUGGUGUUCUUUUAUAUUUUGUUCUUGCAUUUUCAUUUGAUAAAAUUUCCUGUGGGUUAGCUUGAGUUGGUUCCAACGGGUUUGGUGCUAUCCUAGCACAACAUUUAUUAUUAUUGCUAUAAACACACGGAUUACAGCGAAAUUCAAAAACUAAAAAUAAGGAAAAAAGUAGUGAUGAAAACCAAUGCCACUUUCGCGGGAACACGAUUGAAUUCGCACAUGCAACAAGCCUUUUAAACCCAUAGGUGACCCAAAUGGGACGAGUGAAGUCUCGUGAGGGUUUCCAGAGACGUUACCCACAAACAUCAUGCAUACUGAUCAUCAACAUCUGCCUUGGGAGACUGAGUAGAUAUCCACCCCUCCAGCAUCAGGUUGUUUUUGGUUGAGGCGUAAUUCGAAUCUGUUUUCAAUGAACGGCCUGGUUAUGAGAUCACUUUGCAAGUGACGUAAUCGGCAGCGCGUGAUUAGGUUGUUGCUGUCAGGUGGUCCGACAGGCUCGACCUUGAACAAUGUGCAAGCCCAAUUGUCUUUGGUUUCAUUUCGGUCAGCAGCUGCGGCCAGGACCAACAGCCUGUUUUGGUCCACCCUUCUCAAGUAGUUACCAUUGUAGGAGCAUUUGAUAUGCACGUAAUUCUUGUCAGCGUAGUCCUCAUUGUUUGGCUUCUCGGUGGUGAACUUUAUGAACCUGCUGUUUUCAUUGUCCUCGGAAAACUGGACAAUCUCAUUAAGGUCGCUUUCUGCAUCAAGUUGAUAGCGCAAAUACUUGUUGUUGAUAUCUGCUUUCAGCAAAAAAGGGCUUGGUAGUACAGGUGGAGCCAUAUCGUAUAGUGUAGUUGGGAUUGGGAUGCUCUCUCUUUUUUAUUCUCUGUUGAUGAUCUAAUUUGCUUGCUGUGAAUGUGAUGCUUAGUUCAAACCUGCUAUCCUAUUUAUAAGAAAUUAAGCACAAGCUAACUCAAGUUAUGGUCUUUAAUUAAUAUUAAUUUCGACAAAUCAGUUUCCCAUCUCUUUCAUUGAUAUGAACAUGGCUGAUCUCAUUGGUGUGGCGCAAUAUUUGUUAAAUUAGCCGUUCGGGUUGAUUUCUUUGUAUAACUCAUCUGCCAAUUCUACAACUUGUAGACUUACUUCCCAUUACAAAAUAAAAAAUAAAAUAAAAUCCGAAACUAAUGUAAGAUAAAUAAAGACUUUUUAUGUCAUAAAAUAAGACUUUCUAACUUGUAUACACGACUAUAGUGACAAGAUCAAACACAUUGAUGGGUGCGCAUUUUCCAUCAACAUCUGUUCUGUGCGUUUAAACUGAGCGUGAAGUCUUUUUUAGCAAUUAAAAGUUUUGUAUGAUGUAAUUGUCUUGGUUUGAUAAGACCUACAUCUAGAUGAGUUGCUUCUGAAGACUAAUGUAAAACUUUAUGUUGAUAUUUCUUGAGGGUGAAACAUCGUUUGAGAAACGUUUUGGGCCUCAUUACAAUUUUUUCAUUUAUUUUUUAACUUUUGGUUUAAAUAUUCUACAAUAAAUACAUUUGUGGCUUUAAUAACUAGUAAAACCACUUUCAAAUAUCUUAGUAUCGGCUUCAGAACAAAGGGGUUUGGUAGUACAGGUGGAGCCAUGUUGUAUAGUGUAGCUGGGAUUGGGAUGAUCUCUCUCUUUAUUUAUUUAUUUAUUUUCUUUAAUU